GAACAGCGUCAAAGCUUAGUUGUCAUAAUGCCUAAUUUCAUAAACAUACCUGAAUCCUCCAUCCUUACUGAGUAAUUCUAUACUUUUAUAGAAAAUUUUAUGUUAAAACUAGUAACAAGAAAGGGACUCUCUCUUAAAUGUAAGUGUAAAUCAGAAGGGACAAGCCACUGAUACUUAACACCACUGAGCCAAAAGUAGAAACUCACCGAGAAAACUCUACUUUCAUUCGUGUUAACCUAACACAAGAACACUACAAGAAAGAUUAAAAGAAAAAGAAGGAACUCGGCAAACAUUAACCCCGCCUGUUUACCAAAAACAUCGCCUCUUGAGCUCUAUAAGAGGUCCAGCCUGCCCAGUGACUUUGUUCAACGGCCGCGGUAUCCUAACCGUGCGAAGGUAGCGUAAUCACUUGUUCUUUAAAUAAGGACUAGUAUGAACGGCAUCACGAGGGUUAUACUGUCUCCUUUUUCUAAUCAGUGAAACUAAUCUUCCCGUGAAGAAGCGGGAAUAUGUAUAUAAGACGAGAAGACCCUAUGGAGCUUAAAACAACUCAACACUUGCUUAAAUUAUCAAAAAUUUCAGAACUUUAGACUUCCUCAAGCAAUAUGAUUGUAAAGUUUUUGGUUGGGGCGACCACGGAGUAUAUUAUAACCUCCAUGUUGAAAGAGAUUUUCCUCUAAGCUAAGAGUUACCCAUCUAAGCAUCAACACACUGACAUUCCUUGACCCAAUAUAUUUGAUCAACGAACCAAGUUACCCUAGGGAUAACAGCGCAAUCUACUUCAAGAGCUCCUAUCGACAAGUGGGUUUACGACCUCGAUGUUGGAUCAGGGUAUCCUAGUGGUGUAGCCGCUACUAAA
This 859-nucleotide ribosomal RNA is filed under the name Rhinella yanachaga. RNAcentral's name for it is "partial 16S ribosomal RNA". It matches the Rfam family "Bacterial large subunit ribosomal RNA", at positions 1496 to 2569 of the family's 2925-position model. Lineage: Eukaryota; Metazoa; Chordata; Amphibia; Anura; Bufonidae. The record is from RNAcentral.